This 216-nucleotide ribosomal RNA is filed under the name Glomeromycotina sp. RNAcentral describes it as "partial small subunit ribosomal RNA". The stretch from base 40 to 216 matches the Rfam family "Eukaryotic small subunit ribosomal RNA", at positions 686 to 864 of the family's 1831-position model. The record is from RNAcentral. Lineage: Eukaryota; Fungi; Glomeromycota.
GGGUCAGUAGGAUCGUCGUGCCACCGGUACGUACUGGUCUCACUGAUUCCUCCUUCCUGAAGAACCGUAAUGCCAUUAAUUUGGUGUUGCCGGGAAACAGGACUGUUACUUUGAAAAAAUUACAGUGUUUAAAGCAAGCUAACGCUUGAAUACAUUAGCAUGGAAUAAUGAAAUAGGACGAUCGAUCCUAUUUUGUUGGUUUCUAGGAUUGACGUA